This 463-nucleotide ribosomal RNA is filed under the name uncultured Flectobacillus sp. RNAcentral's name for it is "bacterial SSU rRNA". It matches the Rfam family "Bacterial small subunit ribosomal RNA", at positions 336 to 797 of the family's 1533-position model. The record is from RNAcentral. Lineage: Bacteria; Pseudomonadati; Bacteroidota; Cytophagia; Cytophagales; Flectobacillaceae.
UUCCUACGGGGGGCAGCAGUAGGGAAUAUUGGGCAAUGGACGGAAGUCUGACCCAGCCAUGCCGCGUGCAGGAUGAAGGCGUUAUGCGUUGUAAACUGCUUUUUUAUAGGAAGAAGACUCCCUUGCGAGGGAAAGUGACGGUACUAUAAGAAUAAGCACCGGCUAACUCCGUGCCAGCAGCCGCGGUAAUACGGAGGGUGCGAGCGUUGUCCGGAUUUAUUGGGUUUAAAGGGUGCGUAGGCGGUUUAUUAAGUCAGUGGUGAAAGACGGUCGCUCAACGAUUGCAGGGCCAUUGAUACUGGUAGACUUGAGUUCGUAUGAGGUAGCUGGAAUGGAUAGUGUAGCGGUGAAAUGCAUAGAUAUUAUCCAGAACUCCAAUUGCGUAGGCAGGUUACUAAUACGAUACUGACGCUGAUGCACGAAAGUGUGGGGAUCAAACAGGAUUAGAUACCCGUGUAGUCCU